Molecule: ribosomal RNA, 424 nt
Filed under: uncultured Clostridium sp.
Lineage: Bacteria; Bacillati; Bacillota; Clostridia; Eubacteriales; Clostridiaceae
Description: bacterial SSU rRNA
Rfam family: Bacterial small subunit ribosomal RNA
Source: RNAcentral
UGGGAAUAUUGGGCAAUGGGGGAAACCCUGACCCAGCAACGCCGCGUGAAGGAAGAAGGCCUUCGGGUUGUAAACUUCUUUUACCAGGGACGAAGGACGUGACGGUACCUGGAGAAAAAGCAACGGCUAACUACGUGCCAGCAGCCGCGGUAAUACGUAGGUUGCAAGCGUUGUCCGGAUUUACUGGGUGUAAAGGGCGUGUAGGCGGAGAUGCAAGUCGGGAGUGAAAUCCAUGGGCUUAACCCAUGAACUGCUUUCGAAACUGUAUCCCUUGAGUAUCGGAGAGGCAAGCGGAAUUCCUAGUGUAGCGGUGAAAUGCGUAGAUAUUAGGAGGAACACCAGUGGCGAAGGCGGCUUGCUGGACGACAACUGACGCUGAGGCGCGAAAGCGUGGGGAGCAAACAGGAUUAGAUACCCUGGUAGU